Molecule: ribosomal RNA, 210 nt
Filed under: uncultured bacterium
Lineage: Bacteria
Description: partial 16S ribosomal RNA
Rfam family: Bacterial small subunit ribosomal RNA
Source: RNAcentral
GCUACAAUGGCGUUGACAGAGGGACGCGAAGGGGCGACUUGGAGCAAAUCCCGAAAAACCGUCUCAGUUCGGAUUGCACUCUGCAACUCGGGUGCAUGAAGGCGGAAUCGCUAGUAAUCGUGGAUCAGCAUGCCACGGUGAAUACGUUCCCGGGCCUUGUACACACCGCCCGUCACACCAUGGGAGUUGGUCUUACCCGACGGCGCUGCG